CGGCGGACGGGUGAGUAAUGUAUGGGGAUCUGCCCGAUGGAGGGGGAUAACUACUGGAAACGGUAGCUAAUACCGCAUAAUGUCUGCGGACCAAAGCGGGGGACCUCCGGGCCUCGCGCCAUCAGAUGAACCCAUAUGGGAUUAGCUAGUAGGUAAGGUAACGGCUUACCUAGGCGACGAUCCCUAGCUGGUCUGAGAGGAUGACCAGCCACACUGGAACUGAGACACGGUCCAG
RNAcentral lists this ribosomal RNA (235 nucleotides) under uncultured bacterium. RNAcentral describes it as "partial 16S ribosomal RNA". It matches the Rfam family "Bacterial small subunit ribosomal RNA", at positions 96 to 334 of the family's 1533-position model. The record is from RNAcentral.